This 246-nucleotide ribosomal RNA is filed under the name uncultured bacterium. Its description in RNAcentral is "partial 16S ribosomal RNA". It matches the Rfam family "Bacterial small subunit ribosomal RNA", at positions 85 to 334 of the family's 1533-position model. The record is from RNAcentral.
CUGGCGACGGGUGGCGGACGGGUGAGUAAUACUUAGGAAUCUGCCCAGUAGUGGGGGACAACUCGGGGAAACUCGAGCUAAUACCGCAUACGCCCUAAGGGGGAAAGCGGGGGAUCUUCGGACCUCGCGCUAUUGGAUGAGCCUAAGUCGGAUUAGCUUGUAGGUAGGGUAACGGCCUACCUAGGCGACGAUCCGUAGCUGGUCUGAGAGGACGAUCAGCCACACUGGGACUGAGACACGGCCCAG